GUUUUUCAUCUUAUUUCAUCUUUCAUCUCAUUUCAUCUCGUCCAAUCACCGAAGUUAAGCAACGUCGAGCACGGUUAGUACUUGGAUGGGAGACCGCCUUGGAAUACCGGGUGCUGUAGGCU
Helobdella robusta is the source of this 122-nucleotide non-coding RNA. The record is from Rfam. Lineage: Eukaryota; Metazoa; Annelida; Clitellata; Rhynchobdellida; Glossiphoniidae.